AGUGAACGCUGGCGGUAGGCCUAACACAUGCAAGUCGAACGGCAGCACAGGAGAGCUUGCUCUCUGGGUAGCGAGUGGCGGACGGGUGAGGAAUACAUCGGAAUCUACUCUGUCGUGGGGGAUAGCGUAGGGAAACUUACGCUAAUACCGCAUACGACCUACGGGUGAAAGCAGGGGACCUUCGGGCCUUGCGCGAUUGAAUGAGCCGAUGUCGGAUUAGCUAGUUGGCGGGGUAAAGGCCCACCAAGGCGACGAUCCGUAGCUGGUCUGAGAGGAUGAUCAGCCACACUGGAACUGAGACACGGUCCAGACUCCUACGGGAGGCAGCAGUGGGGAAUAUUGGACAAUGGGCGCAAGCCUGAUCCAGCCAUACCGCGUGGGUGAAGAAGGCCUUCGGGUUGUAAAGCCCUUUUGUUGGGAAAGAAAUCCAGCUGGCUAAUACCCGGUUGGGAUGACGGUACCCAAAGAAUAAGCACCGGCUAACUUCGUGCCAGCAGCCGCCGUAA
RNAcentral lists this ribosomal RNA (506 nucleotides) under uncultured bacterium. RNAcentral's name for it is "partial 16S ribosomal RNA". It matches the Rfam family "Bacterial small subunit ribosomal RNA", at positions 29 to 523 of the family's 1533-position model. The record is from RNAcentral.